This 472-nucleotide ribosomal RNA is filed under the name uncultured bacterium. Its description in RNAcentral is "bacterial SSU rRNA". It matches the Rfam family "Bacterial small subunit ribosomal RNA", at positions 355 to 825 of the family's 1533-position model. The record is from RNAcentral.
UGGGGAAUAUUGGACAAUGGGGGCAACCCUGAUCCAGCGAUGCCGCGUGUGUGAAGAAGGCCUUCGGGUUGUAAAGCACUUUAGGUGGGGAAGAAGGGUGUACGGUGAAUAGCCGUAUGCUUUGACGGUACCCGCAGAAUAAGCACCGGCUAACUCUGUGCCAGCAGCCGCGGUAAUACAGAGGGUGCGAGCGUUAAUCGGAAUUACUGGGCGUAAAGCGCGCGUAGGUGGUUUGUUAAGUUGGAUGUGAAAGCCCCGGGCUCAACCUGGGAACUGCAUCCAAAACUGGCAAGCUAGAGUACGGUAGAGGGUGGUGGAAUUUCCUGUGUAGCGGUGAAAUGCGUAGAUAUAGGAAGGAACACCAGUGGCGAAGGCGACCACCUGGACUGAUACUGACACUGAGGUGCGAAAGCGUGGGGAGCAAACAGGAUUAGAUACCCCGGUAGUCCCUGAGCGGGCUGGCAAGGCGCAU